RNAcentral lists this ribosomal RNA (512 nucleotides) under uncultured bacterium. RNAcentral's name for it is "partial 16S ribosomal RNA". It matches the Rfam family "Bacterial small subunit ribosomal RNA", at positions 28 to 523 of the family's 1533-position model. The record is from RNAcentral.
GACGAACGCUGGCGGCGUGCCUAAUACAUGCAAGUCGAGCGGACAGAAGGGAGCUUGCUCCCGGGAGUCAGCGGCGGACGGGUGAGUAACACGUGGGCAACCUGCCUGUAAGACUGGGAUAACUUCGGGAAACCGGAGCUAAUACCGGAUAGGUUCUUCCUCCGCAUGGGGGAAGAUGGAAAGACGGUUUCGGCUGUCACUUACAGAUGGGCCCGCGGCGCAUUAGCUAGUGGGUGGGGUAAUGGCCCACCAAGGCGACGAUGCGUGCCAGGCCGGAGAGGGUGAUCGGCCACACUGGGACUGAGACACGGCCCAGACUCCUACGGGAGGCAGCAGUAGGGAAUCUUCCGAAAUGGACGAAAGUCUGACGGAGCAACGCCGCGUGAGCGAAGAAGGACUUCGGGUCGUAAAGCUCUGUUGUUAGGGAAGAACAAGUGCCAGAGUAACUGCUGGCACCUUGACGGUACCUGACCAGAAAGCCACGGCUAACUACGUGCCAGCCGCCGCCGUAA